This is a long non-coding RNA of Morus notabilis, 670 nucleotides long. RefSeq lists it as uncharacterized. The record is from RefSeq and is a predicted model, not a curated record. The transcript is spliced from 3 exons. Lineage: Eukaryota; Viridiplantae; Streptophyta; Magnoliopsida; Rosales; Moraceae.
CAGCUGAAUUAUGAGAGGUUUAGGACAAUACCGUCCUGAAUUGAGAUCAAGAUGUUUUAGUUGCAACGGUAAAUACCUUCUCGUAGUAAAUGGUAUAGGAAUCUGAUCUGGCUUGAUCUUGAUGGUCCUUUUGAUACUGGUAAACUGUUCUGUAAGUAUUUGGCAGAUUUAAAUUGAACACUCAGUUUGGAAAACCAGGGGAUAUUAACAUUUUGUUGAUCUUAGAGGCUCCGUUUAUCUGACAUAAUCUGCGCCUAGAAUAUGUAUGUAUGAGUAUGAUUUGCAUUAUGUAAUUACAUCUUUAAGUUCAUCUUAAUCCUCAGGAUGAUGGGUCACCAGUAUUUUUGCUCUCUCUUUCUGGGAGUAAUCCCCAAGAUGGACAUUUAGCCCCUGGUUGUAAUGGUGUGAAACGCCUCUAGACUGCUGUCUUAUCUAUGAACUCUUCUUUGGUAUGAAGCGAAGCAAAACAGAGGAACUACACAAUACUGCUUCCAUUCCAAAGUCUCUGCUUCCAAAUUAAUGCAUUGAGCAUUUUGACUAAGAGCAUGCCACAAACUCAGCCUCCAUAGUAGACGCAACAAUGGCAAACUGUUUCCUACUCUUCCAUGAGAUCGCUCCUCCAGCCAAAACGAAGAAAUAGCCAAAUGCGGAUUUUCUCGUAUCAACACGU